Molecule: long non-coding RNA, 1569 nt
Filed under: Volvox carteri
Lineage: Eukaryota; Viridiplantae; Chlorophyta; Chlorophyceae; Chlamydomonadales; Volvocaceae
Description: long non-coding RNA (VCAR_LNC000385)
Source: RNAcentral
CACGAUCAGUCCAAGCAGUCCGCAUAAUACCUAGCAUUGUAGCGUGCACAUGUCGCUGACUGCAAACCUUCACAAGAUCUGCAGCAAAUUUGCAGCGUGUAUGGUUCAAAUAUUAAGCCCCUUGCUUUAAGGCUUUGCCAAUUUGCAUAUCAACAUCGUCACGAUGUUGACAUUUUGGUCGUCUAUACCGUAGUGACAGGAAAUGUUCGUGAUUUUAAUUUCGUGACGGCAUCACGAAAUUAUGUCACAUAUAAAUUACAAGCUGUUCCAGGCGAUGGUCGUCACGAAUAUAUGUGUGCUCCGAAGCCAAAUCGUAUAAUGCCUUCAACACAGUAAUUACUCGUAGAAUUCCACUUUCCUGGCCAUAUAUACAUCCAUAGUAAUUGAACGGACAUGGAUCCGAGGGCCAAGCGGCCUAAGCAACAAAGCCUCCUUCAAUGCGGACUCUUCACACUUGCUCGCGGCGCCCCAGCUACGGAUAGAGCUGGUUUUGCCGCUCCUAAAUAACCGUGCAUGCAUUGGCCAGCUUUUGCGUCAAUCGGCGUUCUGAGUCGGAACCAUUAACGAAUAUUGCAGGCACCGUUGCUUCGGUUGCGUUGGCUUCUCACGAAUUCAACAGUUUCACCAAUAAUUUCGGGUGUAAUUUUGAGGGUGUCUCGAACAAUAAAAUCACGAACAUUUCCUGUCACUACGGUACCCUACAGGCUUUCAGGCCUACCUAUCAUACUAUGACACGGUCUAUUCUAUACAACGAAUAUACAUACAAUCUAUUUCUGGUUCCUAGAUAUAUAAUACGAUGAACGUUUCUAUAGACGAUAAAAAAUCUUUACUGACUGUGCAGAGGUACAGGAAAAAUAUCCUUCACUAAUAAAACGCUUGCAGCUGCCCAUCUCAAGCUGCAAGCUUCAAUUAUAAUGUCAACUAAAACAGUUUAAGAAGAUUUCAAGGAUAACUCGCUACUUCGGGGCCUGUCAUCGUGGGCAAUGGCCAUUAUUAUUUCUUCGCGGCAACCGGCUCUUCACCAGCAUGUCGAUGGUAUCACAUGUAUUGCGCUCAUUCUGUGGACUUUCAAAUUUGCAUUGAGAGCAUUAGUUGCAUGGCUAUUUGCUAGCAGGGCAGGUAGGCCGGCUGCCCAAGAACGCCCAAGCGGCCUGCUCGCUCAGGCAACCUGCUCGUGUUUUUUAAUCCCAACAACAGCCUCAAUAUUUUUACUUGAGCUUCUGUGGAAAACGCUGACGCCACCUCUUGUUUUUGCAUGCUGAUCACCAGCUGCUUUACCUUGCACCGCUGUGGGCGGGCGCGCAUGGAAAUUCCUUCCACCCCUUGGAGCAGACCUUUUGCUCCUGGACCUGCUAAAUCGGUACUGGGCAUUCUGUUGUUGUGAGCAUCCUGAAAACUAAGCUGAGUAUAGUUUUCAGGAUGUUCACUAAAACACAUUCUCAACACAUCCGCACGCACAUUUGCCAAUGCGCAUGGCACACUCACCGAGGCCCAAUCCUUGGUGCUUGGAUCGUACAGAUUCCCGGCAAUGGUGCCUACGAGCUUCGGACGCCACAGCAGGACUCUGGC